UACGGGGGGGGCAAGCGUUGUUCGGAAUUACUGGGCGGAAAGGGCUUGUAGGUGGCCAACUAAGUCAGACGUGAAAUCCCUCGGCUUAACCGGGGAACUGCGUCUGAUACUGGAUGGCUUGAGUGUGGGAGAGGGAUGCGGAAUUCCAGGUGUAGCGGUGAAAUGCGUAGAUAUCGGAAGGAACACCAGUGGCGAAAGCGGCUUCCUGGUCCAGCACCGACGUUCAGGCGCGAAAGCGUGGGGAGCAAACAGG
Molecule: ribosomal RNA, 253 nt
Filed under: uncultured bacterium
Lineage: Bacteria
Description: partial 16S ribosomal RNA
Rfam family: Bacterial small subunit ribosomal RNA
Source: RNAcentral